This is a long non-coding RNA of Musa acuminata AAA Group (dessert banana), 2853 nucleotides long. RefSeq lists it as uncharacterized. Lineage: Eukaryota; Viridiplantae; Streptophyta; Magnoliopsida; Zingiberales; Musaceae. The transcript is spliced from 4 exons. The record is from RefSeq and is a predicted model, not a curated record.
UCACGAUCGCCAUUUUUGCUCCUAUCAGCUGCCUCGCUUCCCCGCCCUUCUACCGGACCUUUCCGGCAUCCGAAGAGAGACCACGCGGUCUAACUCCUCCGCCUGUCGUUGCUCCUCGGCGGAUACUCGACCCUGCAUUUCCCCCCUCCUCGCCCCCGCUGAUCGUCGCUCCCGAUUCCCGUGUCCCCGCCGCGGGCCCCGCGUACCCCAGGCCUCCUCUGCCAAUCUCCACGACGUCGCCACUCGACCCGAGGGGAUCGAUUCGAUUGGAAUCAUAGAAGGCGAUUUGGUUGCCUCGGACUGGAUCGUGCGCCUUCGUGAGAGGAAUUUUUAGCGGUUGUUCGGUUUCUUGAGCCGGAGAUUCGACGGCUCCAAUGCAGCAAGAUGAUCAACCUGCUGCGUCGGAAUCGUCUGACUUCCCUCAGGCGGUCGGUCGCCUCGGUUGCUCUCGAGCAGCCGCCAGAGGAGCCCCUGAAUCAGCACUCGCCGCUUCUGCCGUUGUCAUCUCCAUUGCCCAUGUGAGUUCAUUUUAAUUCCUGAAUUAAUUUGGAGUUAAUAUCUCCUAAAACAUAAGACUGCGUUUGUGUGCUGAUGCCAACAUCUAUAUUGUCUGUCUUCUGAGUAUCUGUUCUUGAGGGUUUAUAUGAUUUCUUCUAGUUUGUAAUUGUUUCCUCCUUCUGUGAUGGAAUAGUUUAUGUAUGGUGUCAUUGUUGCGAUGCCCUUUUUGUUAAAAUUUGAAUAGUCAAGAACAUUCCUCGUUUAAUUUAUGUUUUUCUUUGUCUCAGCGGAUGAUGGCACUAAAAGCUUAUUAUAUUCGAAAAGAAAAGAAUUCCUGCCGAAAUGAUUUUUUUGGAAUUAGUUAGAAUCCACAAUAGAUUAAAUUUGUCGAAAAUGUGAUUCCUGUGGGAGAAUUGUAGUUCAAAAAUUAUGACGAGAAAUUAUUCACAGCUGAUGCAAUAUCUUAUUGUGUUACUUCAACUAUAAAUCUGUACUUCUAAAAUACUUAGCAUUUUUUUUUUCUGCUUUCAAGUCAGACUUCUGCUUCUUUAUUAGUGUUUAGGGAUGCAUAUUUGUUGGGUUUGAAUUUGAAAGACGCAAUAGUUAUCACUGGGUUAUGUUGGUCGGCUAGGACUGCAAUGCUAUGAUGUUCAGCCUAAGAGUGGCCUUACCAAGUCUCCAACAUAUUGCUUUAAGUUAUGUUUAGAGAGUUCCAUUUAAACCUUUCGCUUGAAUUGUUCAAAGAUGCAUUCUGAACUGGGUUCAACCUUCUUUCAUCGAUCUGAUUAUACUUUUGGCUUUUAUGCAUCUUAAUUCAGUAAUAUUCAAUAAAGUGAAUGACUUUAUUGAAUAAUUCAGUAAUAUUCAAUAAACUGCACAAACUGCUAUAACAAUGCUGAGAAUGAAGCUGCUAGGCAUGAUGCUGUUGAAGUUAUUCUAGAGUGCAGUCCUAGUGCCUUCAGUCCUAAGAUUGGCAGUAGCCCAUAUGCGACUAUGGAUCGUAAGGUAUGUCUGCAUUCUUAUGUUGAAACACAUUAGCCUUACCUGGCUGCUUUAUUUCACAAGAUAGGAAAGAAUUGACUAGGCCAGAACAUAUGUAUACAUCGUAAAUGGUUCCUCUCAGUUCAUCUCUCCUACAUCGGUAAAGGAUCAGUCUAUUCACAGGCUUGCAGAACUGCCACAGGUGAUUUUUUGCCUUUUUUCCUUCAACUUCCAAAGUGCUUUUAGGUUUGCAAACAGGCAGAAAAGGCUGGCUUAUUUGUUUUUUCCUGGUUUCUUUCUUAAAUGCUCCUUUUUUGUGACCCUAAUCAAUGAUGAAGAAUCACAACAAAUUAUUGCCAGUCUUUUUUCUAUGUUCAGUAUGCGUUCUCAAUAGAUAUUAAAUUUGUAAUUUGAAGUAUUGUCAAUAUUAUCAUCUAUUACUUUUUGCUAAAUACCCAAUGAUUAUCAGGUUGGUUACCUGAAAACUUCAGGACCAGCUCCUGUUUCUGCUCAUGUGAACCACACUCUUAAUCCUGCUCCGUUGGCCCCUACUAAAUUCUCUUACAGGUCUCUUCUAGCAGAUGUGGUCCGACCGGUACACAUAAGUGAUCUCUGCCAGCUUCUGGUGGUUGUAUCUGAACAGGCUGCUAAAACAUUAGCUGAUAAAAAAGUUCAAGAGGAGCUGGUUGAAAAGGAAGGUCAAGUCGAAAGCUCUCUCUCUUCCACGAUUUGUGAUAAUGAUCAGAGACCAAAAGAUCCAAAUAUUCAGCUGACAUCGGCUGAUGAUCGUUCACAUCGGCUUGCUGUAGACAAUAUUAAAGCAGAAGGGUCUGAAUCUGCCUGUGAGGAUGGACACAAAAGGCCGAGGCCAGAGUCUCCAGGAACACAGGCCUUAAUGUGUGAUGAGCAAGACACAAUGAUUAUGACGUCCCGAAAUGCUGGUACAUCAGCAUUUGUCGCAACCAGCAUGUACCAGAGGUCUAUGCAGAGCAAGAAAGAGCUCCAUUGCCGGGAAAUCCGAAGCGAUCUGAUCUCCAGGGAAGAUCUAUGAAUGAUAUUGCUAGAGCUCCAACGACACUUGAUGCAGAGCCAGUUCCUGCUGAUUCCAACAAGCAACAACCGGCAGGAUGGCCAACCACAAGAAACGGAGACACUGGGCACAAGCUUGAGGAUUCAAAGUUGUAAAGAGAAGGUACAGCAAUCAUCAGAUAACACUAAUGAGAUUUUGGUAGGGUGUUUAUAUCAAGAACUUGAAUCUUGAAUCCUCAGCUCUCUUCUUUUUCUUUUUCUUGAGAUGGAAAGCUCUCUUCUUUUACCCUUUAAGAAAAAUUUUUGCUUAAGAUGUGAUCAGGAUUAUGAUAUCAUGCUGGCAAU